RNAcentral lists this ribosomal RNA (252 nucleotides) under uncultured bacterium. Its description in RNAcentral is "partial small subunit ribosomal RNA". It matches the Rfam family "Bacterial small subunit ribosomal RNA", at positions 26 to 290 of the family's 1533-position model. The record is from RNAcentral.
AGGACGAACGCUGGCGGCGUGCUUAACACAUGCAAGUCGAACGAGGCGCUUGCGCCUAGUGGCGAACGGGUGAGUAACACGUGAGCAACCUGCCCUUGGCUCUGGGAUAGCCUCCGGAAACGGGGAUUAAUACCGGACAUGACCUUCUCCUGCAUGGGGGAGGGUGGAAAGUUUUUUCGGCCAGGGAGGGGCUCGCGGCCUAUCAGCUUGUUGGGGGGGUAACGGCCCACCAAGGCGACGACGGGUAGCCGG